This 117-nucleotide transfer RNA is filed under the name Candidatus Woesearchaeota archaeon. RNAcentral describes it as "tRNA-OTHER". Lineage: Archaea; Nanobdellati; Candidatus Woesearchaeota. The record is from RNAcentral.
GCGGGGGUGGCAGAGCCUGGCCAAAUGCGCAAAUUCAUGCGAGCAGAUGCGUAUGGAGCUUAGGGUUGAGGGCCUUGUCCCUUAGUGGGUGCGCGAGUUCGAAUCUCGUCCCCCGCA